RNAcentral lists this ribosomal RNA (48 nucleotides) under Tuber himalayense. Its description in RNAcentral is "partial 28S ribosomal RNA". RNAcentral also lists the same sequence under 3 other names. The record is from RNAcentral. Lineage: Eukaryota; Fungi; Ascomycota; Pezizomycetes; Pezizales; Tuberaceae.
UUGACCUCGAAUCAGGUAGGGAUACCCGCUGAACUUAAGCAUAUCAAU